Molecule: ribosomal RNA, 301 nt
Filed under: uncultured bacterium
Lineage: Bacteria
Description: partial 16S ribosomal RNA
Rfam family: Bacterial small subunit ribosomal RNA
Source: RNAcentral
CAGCCGCCACGGGAACACGGAGGGGGCUAGCGUUGUUUGGAAUCACUGGGCGUAAAGCGCACGAAGGCGGCUUGGUAAGUUAGAGGUGAAAGCCCGGAGCUCAACUCCGGAAUUGCCUUUAAGACUGCCGAGCUAGUAGGUGAGAGAGGUAAGUGGAAUUCCGAGUGUAGAGGUGAAAUUCGUAGAUAUUCGGAAGAACACCAGUGGCGAAGGCGGCUUACUGGCUCAUUCUAGACGCUGAGGUGCGAAAGCGUGGGGAGCAAACAGGAUUAGAUACCCGCGUAGUCCCUGUCUCUUAUAC